CUGUAAGCCUGUGAAGGUGGCCUGUGAGGGUUGCUGGAGGUAUCAGAAGUGCGAAUGCUGACAUAAGUAACGAUAAAGCGGGUGAAAAGCCCGCUCGCCGGAAGACCAAGGGUUCCUGUCCAACGUUAAUCGGGGCAGGGUGAGUCGACCCCUAAGGCGAGGCCGAAAGGCGUAGUCGAUGGGAAACAGGUUAAUAUUCCUGUACUUGGUGUUACUGCGAAGGGGGGACGGAGAAGGCUAUGUUGGCCGGGCGACGGUUGUCCCGGUUUAAGCGUGUAGGCUGGUUUUCCAGGCAAAUCCGGAAAACCAAGGCUGAGGCGUGAUGACGAGGCACUACGGUGCUGAAGCGACAAAUGCCCUGCUUCCAGGAAAAGCCUCUAAGCAUCAGGUAACAUCAAAUCGUACCCCAAACCGACACAGGUGGUCAGGUAGAGAAUACCAAGGCGCUUGAGAGAACUCGGGUGAAGGAACUAGGCAAAAUGGUGCCGUAACUUCGGGAGAAGGCACGCUGAUAUGUAGGUGAAGCGACUUGCUCGUGGAGCUGAAAUCAGUCGAAGAUACCAGCUGGCUGCAACUGUUUAUUAAAAACACAGCACUGUGCAAACACGAAAGUGGACGUAUACGGUGUGACGCCUGCCCGGUGCCGGAAGGUUAAUUGAUGGGGUUAGCGGUAACGCGAAGCUCUUGAUCGAAGCCCCGGUAAACGGCGGCCGUAACUAUAACGGUCCUAAGGUAGCGAAAUUCCUUGUCGGGUAAGUUCCGACCUGCACGAAUGGCGUAAUGAUGGCCAGGCUGUCUCCACCCGAGACUCAGUGAAAUUGAACUCGCUGUGAAGAUGCAGUGUACCCGCGGCAAGACGGAAAGACCCCGUGAACCUUUACUAUAGCUUGACACUGAACAUUGAGCCUUGAUGUGUAGGAUAGGUGGGAGGCUUUGAAGUGUGGACGCCAGUCUGCAUGGAGCCGACCUUGAAAUACCACCCUUUAAUGUUUGAUGUUCUAACGUUGGCCCGUAAUCCGGGUUGCGGACAGUGUCUGGUGGGUAGUUUGACUGGGGCGGUCUCCUCCUAAAGAGUAACGGAGGAGCACGAAGGUUGGCUAAUCCUGGUCGGACAUCAGGAGGUUAGUGCAAUGGCAUAAGCCAGCUUGACUGCGAGCGUGACGGCGCGAGCAGGUGCGAAAGCAGGUCAUAGUGAUCCGGUGGUUCUGAAUGGAAGGGCCAUCGCUCAACGGAUAAAAGGUACUCCGGGGAUAACAGGCUGAUACCGCCCAAGAGUUCAUAUCGACGGCGGUGUUUGGCACCUCGAUGUCGGCUCAUCACAUCCUGGGGCUGAAGUAGGUCCCAAGGGUAUGGCUGUUCGCCAUUUAAAGUGGUACGCGAGCUGGGUUUAGAACGUCGUGAGACAGUUCGGUCCCUAUCUGCCGUGGGCGCUGGAGAACUGAGGGGGGCUGCUCCUAGUACGAGAGGACCGGAGUGGACGCAUCACUGGUGUUCGGGUUGUCAUGCCAAUGGCACUGCCCGGUAGCUAAAUGCGGAAGAGAUAAGUGCUGAAAGCAUCUAAGCACGAAACUUGCC
Molecule: ribosomal RNA, 1575 nt
Filed under: Escherichia coli
Lineage: Bacteria; Pseudomonadati; Pseudomonadota; Gammaproteobacteria; Enterobacterales; Enterobacteriaceae
Description: partial 23S ribosomal RNA
Rfam family: Bacterial large subunit ribosomal RNA
Source: RNAcentral